Molecule: ribosomal RNA, 468 nt
Filed under: uncultured bacterium
Lineage: Bacteria
Description: partial 16S ribosomal RNA
Rfam family: Bacterial small subunit ribosomal RNA
Source: RNAcentral
GACGAACGCUGGCGGCGUGCUUAACACAUGCAAGUCGAACGGAAAGGCCCUGCUUUUGUGGGGGGCUCGAGUGGCGAACGGGUGAGUAACACGUGAGUAACCUGCCCUUGACUUUGGGAUAACUUCAGGAAACUGGGGCUAAUACCGGAUAGGAGCUCCUGCUGCAUGGUGGGGGUUGGAAAGUUUCGGCGGUUGGGGAUGGACUCGCGGCUUAUCAGCUUGUUGGUGGGGUAGUGGCUUACCAAGGCUUUGACGGGUAGCCGGCCUGAGAGGGUGACCGGCCACAUUGGGACUGAGAUACGGCCCAGACUCCUACGGGAGGCAGCAGUAGGAAAUAUGACACAAUGGGCGGAAGCCUGAUGCAGCAACGCCGCGUGCGGGAUGACGGGCUUCGGGUUGUAAACCGCUUUCGCCUGUGACGAAGCGUGAGUGACGGUAAUAGGUAAAGAAGCACCGGCUAACUACGUG